RNAcentral lists this ribosomal RNA (119 nucleotides) under Ruegeria conchae. Lineage: Bacteria; Pseudomonadati; Pseudomonadota; Alphaproteobacteria; Rhodobacterales; Roseobacteraceae. The record is from RNAcentral.
GGUUUGGUGGUCAUAGCGCAAGUGAAACACCCGGUCCCAUCCCGAACCCGGAAGUUAAGCACUGCCGCGCCAAUGGUACUUGGGCUUAAGCCCCGGGAGAGUAGGUCACCGCCAAACCU